Molecule: unclassified non-coding RNA, 401 nt
Filed under: soil metagenome
Description: partial contains 5.8S ribosomal RNA, internal transcribed spacer 2, and large subunit ribosomal RNA
Rfam family: 5.8S ribosomal RNA (bases 1-121)
Source: RNAcentral
GAUGAAGAACGUAGUGAAAUGCGAUAAGUAAUGUGAAUUGCAGAAUUCAGUGAAUCAUCGAAUCUUUGAACGCACCUUGCGCCCUUUGGCCAUUCCGAAGGGCAUGCCUGUUUGAGUAUCAUGAACACCUCAACUCUCAUGGCUUGCCAUGAUGAGCUUGGACUUUGGGGGUCUUGCUGGCCUGUGGUCGGCUCCUCUCAAAUGAAUCAGCUUGCCAGUGUUUGGUGGCAUCACAAGUGUGAUAACUAUCUGCGCUCGUGGUUUCCAUCAGAUAACCUCCAGUGAUGGAGGUUCGCUGGAGCUCAUAAAUGUCUCUCCUAAGCGAGGACAGCUCUUUUAAUGUUUGAUCUCAAAUCAGGUAUGACUACCCGCUGAACUUAAGCAUAUCAAUAAGCGGAGGA